Long non-coding RNA from Rattus norvegicus (Norway rat), 959 nucleotides. RefSeq lists it as uncharacterized. The record is from RefSeq and is a predicted model, not a curated record. Lineage: Eukaryota; Metazoa; Chordata; Mammalia; Rodentia; Muridae.
AAAUGGCUAUAAGAUGUUUCUGUGUCUAAGAUUUCUUGUUAGAAAUACAUAGCAAAUACAUUGUCACCCCUAGCUCUGUUCUCUUGAGUUGGUCAGGCUACUCUGUGAAGGAUUUUCCCACCCAUCUGGUUUUGGGUUUUGCUAGCACAUCAUGAGAGCCUGAUAGGGGUGGGGGUAGGUGGGUAGCUUGUGGUUUCCAUAUGCAGUAUGUAAGCUUUAAUUGAAUUUCCUGCUUCCCUUUCUACUCAUAGGUCAUCGGCAUGGCCCUUUGCAGAGUUUGGCUGCUUGACUUUCUCUUGAGGAACUGUGCCUGGCUGACUGCAAAGCAUACAGGGACAUGUGGUCAUCAAUCUACUAAAGAGGAAGAAUCCUACUGAUGGAUGCAUUUGGAAAGACAGGAGCCUACCAUAACUGUCUUCUGAGAGUCUUCAUCCAGCAGCAGAUGGAAACAGAUGCAGAGACCCACAGCUAAACCUCCAGAGGAGCUUGGGAAGUCUUGUGGAAGAGAGGAGACAGGAUUGAGUGAGCCGGACGGCUCAAGGACAGGACAAGAAAACCUACAGAGUGAACUAAUCUCUGCCCAUGGGAGCUCAUAGAGCCUGAACCACCAACCAAAGAAUAUGCAGGGGCUGGACCUAGGCUCCCUACACAUUUGUGGCAGAUGUUCAGCUUGGUCUUCAUGUAGAUCCCCUAAGAAUUGGAGCAGGGGCUGUCCCUGACUCUGUUGACUGCCAUUGGAUCGCCUUCCUGUAGCUGGGCUGCUUGAUUGGGCCUCAGUGGGAGAGGAUGCACUUAGUCAUGCUUUGACUUGAUGUCCCAGGACAGGGUGUUACCCAAGAGGGGCUUCUUCUUUUCUGAAGAGAAGGGGAGGAGGUAAUGGGGGAGAGAUUUGUAAGGGUAGGACUGGGAAGGGGCCUAUGAUCAAGAUAUAAAGUAAAUAAAUUAAUGAGAGAAAAAAA